UGAGGAAUAUUGGGCAAUGCCCGCAAGGGUGACCCAGCAACGCCGCGUGGAGGAUGAAUGUCGUAAGAUUGUAAACUCCUGUUAGAGGGGAAGAAUAGUACCGGUUGGACCGGUAUAUGACUGUACCCUCAGAGAAAGCCCCGGCUAGCUACGUGCCAGCAGCCGCGGUAAUACGUAGGGGGCAAGCGUUGUCCGGAUUUACUGGGUGUAAAGGGCGCGCAGGCGGGAUAAAAAGUCAGUGGUGAAAUCCUACAGCUUAACUGUAGAACUGCCUUUGAUACUUUUAUUCUUGAGUUCGGGAGAGAGAGACGGAAUUCCAGGUGUAGUGGUGAAAUACGUAGAUAUCUGGAAGAACACCAGUUGCGAAGGCGGUCUCUUGGUCCGACACUGACGCUGAGGCGCGAAAGCGUGGGGAGCAAACA
This 422-nucleotide ribosomal RNA is filed under the name uncultured bacterium. RNAcentral's name for it is "bacterial SSU rRNA". It matches the Rfam family "Bacterial small subunit ribosomal RNA", at positions 355 to 774 of the family's 1533-position model. The record is from RNAcentral.